AUUGAACGCUGGCGGCAGGCCUAACACAUGCCAGUCGAACGGUAACAGGAAGCUGCUUGCUGCUUUGCUGACGAGUGGCGGACGUGUGAGUAAUGUCUGGGAAACUUCGCGAUGGAGGGGGAUAACUACUGGAAACGGUAGCUACUACCGCAUAACGUCGCAAGACCAAAGAGGGGGACCUUAGGGCCUCUUGCCAUCGGAUGUGCCCAGAUGGGAUUAGCUAGUAGGUGGGGUAACGGCUCACCUAGGCGACGAUCCCUAGCUGGUCUGAGAGGAUGACCAGCCACACUGGAACUGAGACACGGUCCAGACUCCUACGGGAGGCAGCAGUGGGGAAUAUUGCACAAUGGGCGAAAGCCUGAUGCAGCCAUGCCGCGUGUAUGAAGAAGGCCUUCGGGUUGUAAAGUACUUUAAGCGGGGAGGAAGGGAGUAAAGUUAAUACCUUUGCUCAUUGACGGUACCAGCAGAAGAAGCACCGGCUAACUUCGUG
RNAcentral lists this ribosomal RNA (490 nucleotides) under uncultured bacterium. Its description in RNAcentral is "partial 16S ribosomal RNA". It matches the Rfam family "Bacterial small subunit ribosomal RNA", at positions 30 to 507 of the family's 1533-position model. The record is from RNAcentral.